Molecule: ribosomal RNA, 493 nt
Filed under: uncultured bacterium
Lineage: Bacteria
Description: bacterial SSU rRNA
Rfam family: Bacterial small subunit ribosomal RNA
Source: RNAcentral
GACGAACGCUGGCGGCGUGGAUUAGGCAUGCAAGUCGAACGGUAUCAUCCUUUCGGGGAUGAGAGAGUGGCGAACGGGUGAGUAACACGUAGGUGAUCUACCCUCAAGACGGGGACAACCCAGGGAAACUUGGGCUAAUACCGGAUGUGAGCUAUCGUGAGAUAGUUUGAAAGGUGGCUUCGGCUGCCGCUUGAGGAUGAGCCUGCGUCCUAUUAGCUAGUUGGUGAGGUAACGGCUCACCGAGGCAGUGAUAGGUAGGCGGCCUUAACGGGUGGUCGCCCACACUGGGAUUGAGAUACGGCCCAGACUCCUACGGGAGGCAGCAGUCGAGAAUAGUCUACAAUGGUCGAAAGACUGAUAGUGCGACGCCGCGUGAACGAAGAAGCCCUUCGGGGUGUAAAGUUCUUUUAUAUGUGAGCAGUGCUUCUUAUAUUAACAGUAUGGGGAGAGAGAUAUUAGCAUAUGAAUAAGCAACGGCUAACUCCGUGCCAGC